Molecule: long non-coding RNA, 3771 nt
Organism: Aethina tumida (small hive beetle)
Lineage: Eukaryota; Metazoa; Arthropoda; Insecta; Coleoptera; Nitidulidae
Exons: 10
Source: RefSeq, a predicted model, not a curated record
GUUUUUUCUUCUAAAAAACUCAGACUCAAAAUUUUGCAUUUGUUCAUGAAAGAGUGAGAGAAAAAUACAUGUUAAUAAGUGUUAGUGAAGGAUAAAGAUUACAGCAGAAUUGUGUCGAUCAAGUAAGCUGUGAAUUUUUUUUAAUCUGUGGCUCAACCGGGGCAUUUAGAUCAUUUUGAAACAUUCCGAUAAGGUGUGCAGUGACAAUUAAUAAGCUUGAAGACAAUAUUAACGUAUCAAAGCCGUUAGGAAUAUAAAUAAGCAAUCGACUCUUAACGUUUUAAACAUUAAAAGAACAUUCUUUAAAAAUUAUCAGUAAUAUUUAAUACUUUAUUUGGAUAAAUAAAGAGAAAACGAUUUUCAGUCCUCCAUGCAAUUGGGUUCUGACCCGGAGUCUUGGUCAUAGAACUAUUAAGCUCUACUAGGCAGCUUUGCGGCAGCAGUGCGUCAGACCUGACAUUGAAGAGGUUCACUGAAAAUAGUUGACUUUUUACUUGGAUAAGUGGAGUCGCGAGUCUAAAAUUUGCACUAUAAUAUUGAGCUGGAUUCUCAAUUUUGUUGUUAGUUAUCUUAAAGGAUAAGCAGUUUUUGCAGUUUCGGAAAUUGAGUUUGAUUCUCAUAAAAAUUUGCGAUAUUAAAUAGUCUUUUGAAAUGUUCUUUCUUUAGUUGAAACAUUUAGAGAAGAUUUUCUAUUUAUAUUUUCGCUGAGUACUAAAUAGAGACCAACCAUCUAGAGUGCGACGACAGACAAACAUCGUUAAAGGUGGAUACAGAACGAAAAAUGUUAACUGGGCAACUAAUGACGCAAAAACGUGUGGGAGCUGUUAUGAAUAUAAAUAAGUAAUCGACUCUCAAAGUUUUAACAAUUGAAAGGACACUUUUUUAUAAUAACUAAAUUUAACACUUUACUUGGAUAAGUAAUGAGGAAGCGAUUUUUAGUCUCUCAUGCAAUUGGGUUCUGACCCGGAGUCUUGGUCAUAGAACUAUUAAGCUCUAUUAGGCAGCUUUGCGGCAGCAGUGCGUCAGACCUGACAUUGAAGAGGUUCACUGAAAAUAGUUGACUCUUUACUUGGAUAAGUGGAGUCGCGAGUCUAAAAUUUGCACUUUAAUAUUGAGCUGGAUUCUCAAUUUUGUUGUUAGUUAUCUUAAAGGAUAAGCAGUUUUGCAGUUUCGGAAAUUGAGUUCGAUACUCAUAAAAAUUUGCGAUAUUUAAUGGUCUUUUGGAAUGUUCUUUCUUUAGUUGAAACAUUUAGAGAAGAUUUUCUAUUUAUAUUUUCGCUGGAUACUAAAUAGAGACAAAUCAUCUAGAGUGUGACGACAGACAAACAUCGUUAAAGGUGGAUACAGAACGAGACAUGUUAACUGGGCAACUAAUGACGCAAAAACGUGUGGGAGCUGUUAUGAAUAUAAAUAAGUAAUCGACUCUCAAAGUUUUAACAAUUGAAAGGACACUUUUUUAUAAUAACUAAAUUUCACACUUUACUUGGAUAAGUAAUGAGGAAGCGAUUUUUAGUCCCCCAUGCAAUUGGGUUCUGACCCGGAGUCUUGGUCAUAGAACUAUUAAGCUCUACUAGGCAGCUUUGCGGCAGCAGUGCGUCAGACCUGACAUUGAAGAGGUUCACUGAAAAUAGUUGACUCUUUACUUGGAUAAGUGGAGUCGCGAGUCUAAAAUUUACACUAUAAUAUUGAGCUGGAUUUUCAAUUUUGUUGUUAGUUAUCUUAAAGGAUAAGCAGUUUUGCAGUUUCGGAAAUUGAGUUUGAUACUCAUAAAAAUUUGCGAUAUUUAAUAGUCUUUUGGAAUGUUCUUUCUUUAGUUGAAACAUUUAGAGAAGAUUUUCUAUUUAUAUUUUCGCUGGAUACUAAAUAGAGACAAAUCAUCUAGAGUGUGACGACAGACAAACAUCGUUAAAGGUGGAUACAGAACGAGACAUGUUAACUGGGCAACUAAUGACGCAAAAACGUGUGGGAGCUGUUAUGAAUAUAAAUAAGUAAUCGACUCUCAAAGUUUUAACAAUUGAAAGGACACUUUUUUAUAAUAACUAAAUUUCACACUUUACUUGGAUAAGUAAUGAGGAAGCGAUUUUUAGUCCCCCAUGCAAUUGGGUUCUGACCCGGAGUCUUGGUCAUAGAACUAUUAAGCUCUACUAGGCAGCUUUGCGGCAGCAGUGCGUCAGACCUGACAUUGAAGAGGUCCACUGAAAAUAGUUGACAUCUUACUUGGAUAAGUGGAGUCGUGAGUCCAAAAUUUGCACUUUAAUAUUGAGCUGGAUUCUCAAUUUCGUUGUUAGUUAUCUUAAAGGAUAAGCAGUUUUUGCAGUUUCGGAAAUUGAGUUUGAUUCUCAUAAAAAUUUGCGAUAUUAAAUAGUCUUUUGAAAUGUUCUUUCUUUAGUUGAAACAUUUAGAGAAGAUUUUCUAUUUAUAUUUUCGCUGGGUACUAAAUAGAGACUAAUCAUCUAGAGUAUGACGACAGACAAACAGUGUUAAAGGUGGAUACAGAACGAGGCAUUUUAAGAUAAGAUUUUCUAUAUGUAUUCUCGCUGUUUGGAUUACUAAUAAGAGACCAUGGACGCAUCUAGAGUAUGACGACUGAUAUGUUUGGAGACUGUGGCGACCACCAGUAAUGCCAAGAAUUUUUAAGAACACUUAUUCUGUUUGUUGUAAAUUCCGUCUGAACGUUAACUCAGAAUAGGACAAUUAUGUAUAUAUUGUCAAAAUUUAAAUUGUAUCAAAUGUAUCAUAUAUAAACAUUAGAUUCUUAGUAUUUUAACUAUUAAAGGAAGCAUCAUGAGUCUAAAAUGUGCGUAAUCAUUUAAUAUGUGUAAAAUUGUUGACGUUGAGUGUGAAAUGUAAUCCGUAUAAUGUAUACGUAGUCCCUGUAAGACGUAACAUAGGACGUAUAACGCAAUUAGCAAAAAUGUUCAUUCUUUGGUUAUAACAUUUCGCGAGUUAAAUUGUUACAUUGAUCGUAAAAUGUAAUCCGUAAAACGCAUAACGUAGUCCGUCAAUCGUAUAACGUAGACCGUAUAACGCAUUAGCAAAAAUACGUAUAACGUCGAACGUAACGCAAAAACGUAGAGCGUAGAACGUAAGUCAUACCAUGGUUAACGUAGCAAUUCGUUGAAACUUGUAUAAUAAUCUUGUAAACCGCAAAUUGCAGAAAUACGUUUAACAUAAAACGCAUCGGUAUCGUUGCAUAAAACGUAAGCCGUUUACGUGAAACGUCACAAUUUUAGUAUAUUGUUUUGAAAUUAAAUUAAAUAAAUUUCAAAAUUUGCGUUGUUAAAUAUUUAUCUUAAAUAUUCCUUUUUUAGUUAAAACAUUUACAAAAGUUUUUUGAUGUAUUUAUAGUUGUUUAGAUUUUAGUAAAUUAUAAUUUAGUAUAGGACGUGCAUUUAAUUACCUUGCAAUAAAUAACAUUGUUUUUUCUAUAUAUCUUUUAAUGUAAUUUAAUAGUACGUCAAAUAUUUCCGAUAAAUUCAAAGGGUGUUGUAAGAGACGAACAUGUAAAUAAAUAUUCGAUUCUUAUUAUUUUUACUAUUAAAGGAGAAAUUUUGAACAGUUUUUGUAGAGUAAGGUUUGUUACAAACUUUAACAUUUUUUAUCUCGUUUUCUGUCUGUUUAAGAAAUCGACUUAUUAUUUAGAAAUACUUCUACUGGACAUAUCUGAUUUAGGAUAAGUUAUGAAACAUCCUGUAUAAACAUAUUAUCCAAAUUUGAUGUUAUUUUAUUUCUAAUAUGAUUGUAAUGCAAAGUGAACAUAUUGUUAAUUGA